AUACGUAGGUGGCAAGCGUUAUCCGGAAUUACUGGGCGUAAAGCGCACGCAGGCGGCCAGUCAAGUCUGACGUGAAAGCUCCUGGCUUAACUGGGAGAGGUCGUUGGAAACUGAUUGGCUUGAGGCAAUGAGAGGGACACGGAAUUCCCGGUGUAGUGGUGGAAUGCGUAGAUAUCGGGAGGAACACCAGUGGCGAAAGCGGUGUCCUGGCAUUGACCUGACGCUCAUGUGCGAAAGCGUGGGGAGCGAACGGGAUUAGAAACCCUGGUAGUCC
RNAcentral lists this ribosomal RNA (274 nucleotides) under uncultured bacterium. RNAcentral's name for it is "partial 16S ribosomal RNA". It matches the Rfam family "Bacterial small subunit ribosomal RNA", at positions 523 to 796 of the family's 1533-position model. The record is from RNAcentral.